AAUUGUUUUUCGGUUAUGCAUUUGCGUUAUUCCUUCUGCAAAUCUACUGCAAGAGUUGAGUACAAUCAUAAGGAACCAGAAACACUAAUUGAAGGUUUUAUAACUGCAGCAAAUUGUAGAGACGUUAUCCUUAAUCCGAAAUGAGGAUGCAUGGCAGCCAUUUGUGAUUAAUCUAAGACUAGGAUUAACUGAAAGAUUGAUCAAAGCAAGUCCGCCGCAGAAGAAAGUCCGUUCAGUUGUAAGCGAAGCUUCAUUAAUGAUGAUGACAAUGGGAUCAAGCACCUGUUGGAGCAGCCAAACUCAGAACCGUUUCAGUCUAAUUAACUCGGAGCAAUAGCAUAUCAACAAGACUAGGAGACAAACUUUCUGUUAUAACUGCCACUGAUUGAUUCUUUUGAAGUCUCUGGUGCUUCUUGAUUAGUUUGGUUUGGAGUUAGCAUCAGAGCAGCACCAUAGGAGAUGAGCAACCAGAGCACAAGUGUAAGAAUCCCGUAACCUGAGUGAGGGUGUCAAUGCAUCUUUUUGCUUUCUUCUCU
Dendrobium catenatum is the source of this 536-nucleotide long non-coding RNA. RefSeq lists it as uncharacterized. The record is from RefSeq and is a predicted model, not a curated record. Lineage: Eukaryota; Viridiplantae; Streptophyta; Magnoliopsida; Asparagales; Orchidaceae. The transcript is spliced from 2 exons.